This 381-nucleotide ribosomal RNA is filed under the name uncultured eukaryote. RNAcentral describes it as "partial 18S ribosomal RNA". It matches the Rfam family "Eukaryotic small subunit ribosomal RNA", at positions 592 to 976 of the family's 1831-position model. The record is from RNAcentral.
CAAUAGCGUAUAUUAAAGCUGUUGCGGUUAAAAAGCUCGUAGUUGGAUUUCUGUCAAGGACAACUGGUCCGCCCUCCGGGUGAGCACAUAGUUUGGUCUUGACAUCUUGCUGGAAGCUGUUGCUGCACUUGGCUGUGUGGCGCAGUGUUCAGCACUUUCACUUUGAGGAAAUUGGAGUGUUUCAAGCAGGCACAUGCCUUUGGACACAGUAGCAUGGAAUAAUUAGAUUGGGCUUUUGCUCCAAUUUGUCGGUUUCCGGAGCUGAGGUGAGUAUUAAUGGGGAUUGUUGGGGGCAUCCGAAUUUAGCCGUCAGAGGUGAAAUUCUUGGAUCUGCUAAAGACGGACAACUGCGAAAGCGUUUGCCCAGGAUGUUUUCAUUGA